This 253-nucleotide ribosomal RNA is filed under the name uncultured bacterium. Its description in RNAcentral is "partial 16S ribosomal RNA". It matches the Rfam family "Bacterial small subunit ribosomal RNA", at positions 524 to 776 of the family's 1533-position model. The record is from RNAcentral.
UACGGAGGGUGCAAACGUUGCUCGGAAUCAUUGGGCGUAAAGCGCACGUAGGUGGCCUGUUAAGUCGGGUGUGAAAUCCCUGGGCUCAACCCAGGAAGUGCACUCGAAACUGGCGGGCUUGAGUACUGAAGAGGGUCGCGGAAUUCCCGGUGUAGAGGUGAAAUUCGUAGAUAUUCGGAGGAACACCAGUGGCGAAGGCGGCUCACUGGUCCAUUACUGACGCUGAGGUGCGAAAGCGUGGGGAGCAAACAGG